GGUUUAAAUAAAAAUCGAUAUGUUGCUUUUCUUGACAUUUCGGAGUUGGGUCAUCUUAAUCUUACUUUUAAGGGACCUAAAAUUGAUGUUCUUGCGCAUCUUGACAUGUAUAAUUUUUUUUAUCUUGUCACCGGAUGCCAGGUAUUAUUAGGUGUGACUAUGCUAAGUGGUUUCAUGCCUAUAGGAAUCUUGA
This 193-nucleotide unclassified non-coding RNA is filed under the name uncultured Glomeraceae. RNAcentral describes it as "sequence contains ITS2". The record is from RNAcentral. Lineage: Eukaryota; Fungi; Glomeromycota; Glomeromycetes; Glomerales; Glomeraceae.